RNAcentral lists this ribosomal RNA (450 nucleotides) under uncultured bacterium. RNAcentral describes it as "partial 16S ribosomal RNA". It matches the Rfam family "Bacterial small subunit ribosomal RNA", at positions 28 to 523 of the family's 1533-position model. The record is from RNAcentral.
GACGAACGCUGGCGGCAGGCCUAACACAUGCAAGUCGAACGGACGUAGCAAUACGUUAGUGGCUCACGGGAGAGUAACGCGUGGGAACCUACCUUUUGGUUCGGGAUAACAUCGGGAAACUGGUGCUAAUACCGGAUAAGCCCUUCGGGGGAAAGAUUUAUUGCCGAAAGAUGGGCCCGCGUUGGAUUAGCUAGUUGGUGAGGUAAUGGCUCACCAAGGCAACGAUCCAUAGCUGGUCUGAGAGGAUGAUCAGCCUCACUGGGACUGAGACACGGCCCAGACUCCUACGGGAGGCAGCAGUGGGGAAUAUUGGACAAUGGGGGAAACCCUGAUCCAGCCAUGCCGCGUGAAUGAUGAAGGCCUUCGGGUUGUAAAGUUCUUUUGGUGGGGACGAUGAUGACGGUACCCACAGAAUAAGCUCCGGCUAACUUCGUGCAGCAGCCGCCGUAA